RNAcentral lists this transfer RNA (85 nucleotides) under Nitrospiraceae bacterium. Its description in RNAcentral is "tRNA-Leu". It matches the Rfam family "tRNA". Rfam says of the family: Transfer RNA (tRNA) molecules are approximately 80 nucleotides in length. Their secondary structure includes four short double-helical elements and three loops (D, anti-codon, and T loops). The record is from RNAcentral. Lineage: Bacteria; Pseudomonadati; Nitrospirota; Nitrospiria; Nitrospirales; Nitrospiraceae. RNAcentral also lists the same sequence under 1 other name.
GGGCGUGUGGCGGAAUUGGCAGACGUGCUAGACUUAGGAUCUAGUGGGGUAACCCGUGGAGGUUCGAGUCCUCUCACGCCCACCA